AUGAUGGAGGGCGCCGCCCAGCUCCUGGCUGACGGAUUUGCUGGCUCCCCGCUCCUCGGGGCCAGCCCCUCCCCGUGCCGAGUCGAGCAUCGACUUGGAGGCCCCUUGGGGCUGCCGCCGGUGCGGGAGUUCCGUGCGGCCGUGCGGGCUGGGUACCGAGCGGCGGGGCCCGUGGUGCGACGCUCGAUGGAUGGCCUGCACAACGCGGACGACUGCUUCUCUCCCAGGAGGGCCAUAGGAAGCCACUACAUGUCGGAGCUGUUGCAGGAGCACCAGAAGCUUAUCCUGUUCACACAGGUGCUACCAAUCUGCAUCAAACUAUUGGGCCACUAUGAGAGCCUGGAUUCACUCCCUCGCCGCCGCCCGGUCUACCAUUAUUGGCCUAGAGAAGAAAAAGGUUCCAUGAGGGUGUAUAUUACAGAAGUGGAGAAAGAGCUCGCCUACCAUGCAUGUUGCCUGGUCCGAUGA
This 468-nucleotide ribosomal RNA is filed under the name Triticum aestivum (bread wheat). RNAcentral describes it as "partial small subunit ribosomal RNA". Lineage: Eukaryota; Viridiplantae; Streptophyta; Magnoliopsida; Poales; Poaceae. The record is from RNAcentral.